UUUAAUGAUAUCUGUAUUUGUUUGUCAUCUUUUCUGUUUUUUCAUCGUUUUGAAUUAAAUUCUAUUUUUUUCUAACAGCGUUUAUUCGUGACUUUGGAUUGACAUUUGAUUUAUCACAAUUCAGUUGUCUCUGUUUUAGUGUUGAUAAAGUACCUGUGUAUUCAAAUAUCCCUGUUGUUUGGACAAACAAUGUGCGUUACCAUGAAUAAAAGAAGAUGUGUAUAUGCCUCGUUCAGAUUGCAACCCGACGACAGCUAUAUAUUUUAAUAUAUCAUAAUUAAAUUCAUAUAAACACAAAUGAUUUCAAUUUCUUUCUCUGGAUUUUACAUUAUUCUUUUCUUACAUCCCACUGUAUAUGCAAAAAUAUAUCAACAAUAUAACAAAUAAGUACUUU
RNAcentral lists this long non-coding RNA (394 nucleotides) under Mytilus galloprovincialis (Mediterranean mussel). Lineage: Eukaryota; Metazoa; Mollusca; Bivalvia; Mytilida; Mytilidae. The record is from RNAcentral.